Molecule: long non-coding RNA, 2979 nt
Filed under: Homo sapiens (human)
Lineage: Eukaryota; Metazoa; Chordata; Mammalia; Primates; Hominidae
Description: HSALNT0335133
Source: RNAcentral
CCACAGUCUCCCUCUCCUCACGGUCUCCCUCUAAUGCCGAGCCGAAGCUGGACUGUACUGCUGCCAUCUCGGCUCACUGCAACCUCCCUGCCUGAUUCUCCUGCCUCAGCCUGCCAAGUGCCUGCCAUUGCAGGCACGUGCCACCACGCCUGACUGGUUUUCAUAUUUUUUUGGUGGAGACGAGGUUUCGCUGUGUUGGCUGGGCUGGUCUCCAGCUCCUAACCGCGAGUGAUCUGCCAGCCUCGGCCUCCCGAGGCGCCGGGAUUGCAGACGGAGUCUCGUUCACUCAUUGCUCAAUGUUGCCCAGGCUGGAGUGCAGUGGCGUGAUCUCGGCUAGCUACAACCUCCACCUCCCAGCCGCCUGCGUUAGCCUCCCAAAGUGUCGAGAUUGCAGCCUCUGCCCGGCCGCCGCCCCAUCUGGGAAGUGAGGAGCGUCUCUGCCUGGCCGCCCAUCGUCUGGGAUGUGAGGAGACCCUCUGCCCGGCUGCCCAGUCUGGGAAGUGAGGAGCGCCUCUUUCCGGCUGCCAUCCCGUCUAGGAAGCGAGGAGCGUCUCUGCCCGGCCGCCCAUCGUCUGAGAUGUGGGGAGCGCCUCUGCCCUGCCGCCCCGUCUGGGAUGUGAGGAGCGCCUCUGCCCGGCCACGACUCCAUCUGGGAGGUGAGGAGCAUCUCUGCCGGCCACCUCAUCUGAGAAGUGAGGAGCCCCUCCGCCCAGCAGCCGCCCAAUCUGAGAAGUGAGGAGCCCCUCCGCCCGGCAGCCACCCCGUCUGAUAAGUGAGGAGCCCCUCUGCCCGGCAGCCGCCCUGUCUGGGAAGUGAGGAGCGUCUCUGCCCAGCAGCCGCCCCGUCUGGGAGGGAGGUGGGGGGCAGCCCCCGCCCGGCCAGCCGCCCCUGCUGGGAACUGAGGAGCCCCUCUUCCCGGCUGCCACCCCGUCUGGGAGGUGUACCCAGCAGCUCAUUGAGAACGGGCCAUGAUGACGAUGGCGGUUUUGUGGAAUAGAAAAGGGGGAAAUGUGGGGAAAGGAUAGAGAAAUCAGAUUGUUUCUGUGUCUGUGUAGAAAGAAGUAGACAUGGGAGACUCCAUUUUUGUUCUGUACUAAGAAAGAUUCUUCUGCCUUGGGAUGCUGUUGAUCUAUGACCUUGCCCCCAGCCCUAUGCUCUCUGAAACAUGUGCUGUGUCCACUCAGGGUUAAAUGGAUUAAGGGCGGUGCAAGAUGUGCUUUGUUAAACAGAUGCUUGAAGGCAGCAUGCUCGUUAAGAGUCAUCACCACUCCCUAAUCUCAAGUAUCCAGGGACACAAACACUGCGGAAGGCCGCAGGGUCCUCUGCCUAGGAAAACCAGAGACCUUUGUUCACUUGUUUAUCUGCUGACCUUCCCUCCACUAUUGUCCUAUGACCCUGCCAAAUCCCCCUCUGCCAGAAACACCCAAGAAUGAUCAACUAAAAAAAAAAAACUCAGCCCAAAAUUUGACCAGGUUUCAUCACAUAAAUUAAAUAAAAGAAAGAAAACAAAAAAAAAAAAAAAAAGAAAAGAAAAAGGAGAGCUUUACCUCUAGGCAAGAAUGCUUCACUCUGAUUAAUUCCUACCCCCAACCACACCCCUCACCACAAGAUAGAAUCUUGUCUUUUGUGAGGUCUUAGUCAUGUUCCUUUGACCCACUGCAGGCCAUAAUUCUGCAACUAGAGACAUCUCUAAUUCUCUCCUUCCACCUUCCCCUAGAGAAAUGUCAGGACUGACAGAUGGACCCUAGUUUGUGAUCUCUAUGACCAGAGUGGGUUCUGAGGCAGGACCAACCCUUACGGUUGAGCAGUCUGAGCAUCUGACAAAAGGGAAUGGUGGGUAGUCUGGUAACCUGCCCCUAACCUGCUCAUCAGAGAUGGUUUGCUGAACCAGGAGAAAGCUUGGCCCUUUCUAAUUAUAAAAUAAAGCAGAAUUUCACUCAAAAAAAAAUAAAAUAAAAUAAAUAUCUAUAGAUAAAUAAAACCUACCUCUUUUUUCCAUAUUGCCCCAAUGCCAUUCUUAUGUAAUGAAACAUUUAAUUAAUCAUGAGUGUCAUGAUGAUCAGUUAUUAAUAAUAGAAAAGAAGUUAGUAUAUUAAAUCCUAAUGUUUAAUAAAUGAGAAAAAGAAUAAAGCAGCAUAUUAAUAGAGUAGAUACAGAAAGAACAAAUGAAGAAAUUUUGGUAUAAUGUUAUUUAAAAUACACUUUCAAAGGUGCAUGUGAUAUACAGCUAUUUCUCAAACUUACUUGCCAGAAGCUCUUCUUCUGUUGUUUAUAUAUAUAUAUAUUUAUUUUGUCAUUUGGCUUCUUGUGGGACUGUAUUCUAACAACAGUUCUUUGCUUGGCCAAACUUUAGUCAGGCUUCUGGACUUUCUCCUGGGCCUGUCUGUGCACAUCAUUCUAAAACCCAGUUUUAGCAAAUAAUACGGCCAACACAGUUUAGCAAGAAUUAUUCAUCCUUGAUAUCUGAUCACCCUCAGUAUCUGAUCAAAAUUUUUCUCUGCCCACUCCUGUUAGCUGAUCACCCUCGCCUGUUUUCAGCAGGAAUCCUGUUAGGUUGGUUCUGCCAGAAUUUCCCCCAGACUUGGUAUCUCUUCUUAAAAAUUUUCUGAGCAUUUUUUUCAUGUGUUUUUUGGCUGCAUAAAUGUCUUCUUUUGAGAAGUGUCUGUUCAUGUCCUUCACCCACUUUUUGAUGGGGUUGUUUGUUUUUUUCUUGUAAAUUUGUUUGAGUUCAUUGUAGAUUGUGGAUAUUAGCCAUUUGUCAGAUGAGUAGGUUGCGAAAAUUUUCUCCCAUUUUGUAGGUUGCCUGUUCACUCUGAUGGUAGUUUCUUUUGCUGUGCAGAAGCUCUUUAGUUUAAUUAGAUACAUGGAUGAAAUUGGAAAUCAUCAUUCUCAGUAAACUAUCGCAAGGACAAAAAAACCAAACACCGCAUAUUCUCACUCAUAGGUGGGAAUUGAACAAUGAGAACACAUGGACACAGG